UUGUUGUUGUUGUUGUUGUUGUUUACUGUGGAUUUCUUUUUUAAGGAUAGCAACUUCUGUGAGGGGCACCGAAGCAUCAAAUAAUGUGUAUAAUUCGUAUCCAGAUUUUAUUAGGGGUAUCCGGGGAAAUUAAGAAACCUCUGUAUCUGUGGCAUUCUAAAUUGAUAUGUUAUUUCAAAUAUAUACUGGCUAUUGAUUUCCUCUUUUAUUUUUAACAGUGUGAUGUGUCCUAUAAAAGACUUACAAAAAGAGACCUUAUAAAAGACCACAGGUUUGUUCACUUGAGCCUCUUUGGCUUCUGGUAAGUUACAGUAUUCUAAAAGACCGUGGUGUAUCGUAUAUCCAGGUGGUAGUCUUCCUUUUCAUUCUUUAAAACAAAACCCAUUAACAAGCAGUAUUUGUAAGAAUUUACUAGUGCAGUAUUCAGAAUGUCUUUUCUGGGCAUUGACCCUUCUGGAACUGCAGAACCAGGAUCAUGGGUUCUCUUUUCAUUUCUGGAUUUGAGAAAGCCGAACCAGUAGAUGGUAAAAUGAGAAAGAGAAAGUGAUAAUAUACUUUAUGUGGUACCAUCAGAUUUAAUUUCAAUAUUGAUCUUCUACCAUCCAUCCUUGCUAAACUUAUUUUCUCUAAUAGGUUUGUGUGUAUGUGUAUGUGUGAAUUUUAUAUGUAAGAUCAUGUCACUGGCAAAUAGAGAUAGUUUUACUUCUUUUCCAAUCUGGAUGCCUUUUCUUUCUUUUUCUUGCCUAAUUGCCUUGGCUAGAACCUUCCAGUGUUGAAGUGUUGAGAGCAGAUACCCUUGUCUGAUUCUUGAUCUUAAGGGGUAGGCUUUCAGCAAAUUGUGAUAUGAGCUAUGGUUGAUAAUCAGACUUAAAGGUGAACUUAGUACAAAUGUGAAGAUGUCUUCAACAACUUAGUCUAGGCUGCAGUUUCUCUGAUGUAAGAAAAUAAGCUAUUGGAUCCAAGGAUAAGCUACUAAGAGACAAUGGUAUUUGUUUGUUUUUAUGUAUGCCAUGCUGCUGAAGAACAAACAAUUAGUUUCUCAACCUCAGUACUUUGGGCAUUUUGAGGUGCAUAAUUCUUUGGGGGACUUCCCUGUGCAUUGUAGGAUGUUAAGCAGCAUUCUUGGCCUCUGUCUACUAGAUGCCACUUCAGCAUCUCAGCUAUAGCAACCAGAAAUGUCCAGACAUUGCCAGAUGUGCCCUGGCUGGCAAAAUGACCCCUAGUUGAUUGUCUUAGAGCAUGGACUGAUCAAGCACUAUCGAAUAGAAAUAUAAUGGGAGCCAUAUUUGUUAUUUUAUAUAUUUGUUAUUUAAAUGUUUAUUUUUGAGAGCGAGAAAGGCAUGUGUGCAAGUGUGGGAAGGGCAGCGGUGGGGGGGGUGGGGACAGAGGAUCCAAAGCGGGCUCGUUGGGACAGCAGAGAGACCAGUGUGGGACUUGAACUCUUGAACUGUGAGAUCAUGACCUGAGCUGAAGUCGGAUGCUUAACUGACUGAGUCACCCGGGCUCCCCUUUAUAUAUGUUAUUUUGAAUUUUGCUAGUAGCAGCGUACCUGGGUGGCUCAGUCGGUUGAGCAUCCAACUUUGGCUCGGGUCAUGAUCUCGCGGUUCACAAGUUCAAGCCCACGUCUGGCUGUGAACUUGACAGCUCAUUGCCUGGAGCCUGCUUCGGAUUCUGCGUCUCCCUUCCUCUCUCCCCCUUCCCCACUUGCGCUCUGUCUCUCUGUCUCUCAAAAAUAAAUAAAAAUAAUCUUAAAAAUUAAAAUAAAGUUAGCUAGUAGCUACAUUAAAAAAAUGUAAGAAGAAAUAGGUGAAAUUAAUUUUUAAUAGCACAUUUUAACUCAGCAUCCACAAUACUAUUUCAACAUGUGAUCCAUAUAAGAAUUAGUUAUUAAAUUUUUGAGAUCCGGUGUGUAUUUUAAAUUUACAGUACAUUUCAAUUCAGAUGUGAAAUUUUCAUCAGAAAUAAUUGAUCUGUAUUUAGAUUUCAGAAAAUUUACAGUUAAAGCCUGGCUUUACAUGUACAUACAAAAAAGAAAGGUUUAUGAUAAUCUAAGAUGAAUCAAUCUGGACUUCUCCAAAUACUUCACCUAUGUCUUUUUUUUGUGUGUUUAUUUUUGAGAGAGACAGAGUGUGAGUGGGGAAGGGGCAGAGAGAGGGGGAGACACAGAAUUCGAAGCAGGCUCCAGUCUCUGAGCUGUCAGCACAGAGUCCAACGUGGAGCUCGGACCCAUGAACCGUGAGAUCAUGCCCUGAGCCAAAGUCAGACACUUAACCAACUGAGCACCCAGGCUCGCCUUCACCUAUGUCUUGAAAGUCUUUAGCCUGUAAGAAUUCUGGGAUCAUAGCUUAUCAUUUGGUUAUUUUUUGAAUCACACGUACACGGUAUGGUUAUAUGUCCAAAUCAGCCAUAAUUUGAUCAUAUAGAAAAAAUAAUCCUGCUGCAAAUUUUACCUGGCAGUUCCAUUCAUUAAAUAGAACCUUACCUAUUACAUGGUGGUGUCAUGAGGAAAGUACUGUAUCCUGAUAUUGGUCCCAGAUUAACCAUUAUAGAUUUAGACAUUUCCACACUUUGGGUGGUUGUAGUACUCUUGAGGGAUCUGGUGUUCUGUGGAAUUAUUAGUGGAUAAAGUGACCCAUAUCUGCAUUUUGUCGCCCACCUUUAUUUGUAGACCUGUCUUCCUAGUUUAGAAGAAGGUUGGGAAAGUUUCAAGUGCUAAUGUCUACUGGAGUGGCAUUACCAGAGAGAUUUUGGAUAGUUGCCCUGUUUUUAGCUGCCAUAGGACAUUAAUUUUUCCCAUGGCCCUUCUGCUUAUGGUAUCCUUAAUCAUAGCUUUCUAAUUCUUAUAGAACACAGAACAUCUUGAGGGCCAGAAAUUUGUUUUGAUUCUAGCUUUUUGAAAUGUUAAGUGACAUCUUUGAAAUUGGCAUUUUUAAAUCCAUUUUUGAAAUUAAAAAAAAGGACAAGCCCAUCUGCCUUUACAAAUUAGUUCUUGAGGAUACCCCAGAAUAUUGGUUGAAAUUUUUCCUGGGUCAGUUUCCGGAAUCUGCUAUUUAAUUCAUCGUUUGUUUAUAAUUUUGAAUUUUGUCCAAUCCAUCCAUAAAGGAAAGGCUCUUGGAAUGGCCUUAUGUACUACAUUUCCUAUUUGCUUUCCCUUUCAAGGUCAGACCUUGAAUUAUGAAGAACUGGGUUAUUUAAACCAUCUCCUAGUUUUGGUAUUUUUGUUGUUGGUUUUGCUGCCUUCUUUUUAAUGUUUAUUUUUGAGAGCGUGCACGCAUACAAGUGGAGGAGGAGGGGGUUGAGGACAGAGGAUUGAAGCAGGCUCUAUGCCGACAGCAGAGAACCGAGUGCAGGGCUCAGAUGCACAAACCGUGAGUCAUGACCUGAGCCAAAGUCAGAUACUUAACUGAUUGAGCCACCCAGGCACCCUGGUUUUGCUGCUUUUAGCUAUUUUGUUCCCAUCCGAGUAUCCAAUAAUUAAGUGAACUGGUUGGUACAGACUCCAGGACAAUCAAUAUCUAUAAAAUUUUGAACUCUACAGCAGAUUUGUCUUCUUAAGGUUAAGAAAAUCCUUUAUUUCUUAUAGCUCUCUACUUGAUUCCAGGCUAAGGAUCAAAUAUUAGUUUCUUUAGAUCUGCAUUCUGUCCCAGUAGUUUUGAAGGGCUAUGAUAUGAUGUAAUUGAUCUUCCCUAAAAAGAACCUUGAGCAAAAGAGCACUUCUUUUGGAGGUAAAAGAAGGUGCAGAGGGAUAGAAAGUUUGAAUGGAUGGUAAAGAUAAAACUGGGUAGAAAAAAGGUGCCAGGAGGGCGGUCUCAGAACGUUUGAAUGGCAGUGAGUCACUGUUUCCUUUUGAGGCCUCCACAUAUCAAUCAAAAGUUGACUGUUGCAUAUUUUAGUCUUCCCCCCCCUUCCGAUUUUUCUAGAGCUCCUUUGAAUAUAUUAAUUUUGAUGAGAAGUUCCUUAUAAUGGCUAUAAGUAAUGCGAGUCAUUUUGUAGCAAACUUUUGCCAAGUUAAGCACAAGAGUUAGAAUUGUAGUGUGAAGACUGUCAGGAGGAGGUUGUGCCUUUGCCGUAGACAAAUCAAUGACAAGAAAAAGACAGUGCAUUUAUCAAAGGGUGUUUGUUAAUGGUAGAUGGGGUUGCCCAGCUAAGUGGAGAAUAGGGAGGAGCUGGUGAUCAGUGACCCCAAACACUGAUGAUCCUGAGAUACAGACUAAACAAAGUGAACUUGUUUUACAAAUUGCCCGGCCUUGAGGAAUACUCAUGAAGAUUUCACAGAUGACCCAAGGCAAAAUUUGACCAAUCAUUUUAGCAGCCAAUUGUCAUCAGUCUAAUGGACCAUUAGUCUUUAGGGCCAAUUUAUAUUGAUUUGGAGUCUUAGCCUAUGCCUCCAUCUGUUCCCUAUGAAGCACUUCCUUAUACAUUCAACACACACAAGACAAUAAGGGGCAAAACAACACAUAAUACAAAAUUUUGUGUAAAUUUGUAUGAAUAGGUGAACAAAAAUGAUGAAAACAAGCGGUGGGAGCAUAGGUAGGUUAAUGGGAAAAAUCUUUACCAAAUGGUUCACUUCUAAAUCAGAAGGUCUGAUUAUCAUGUGGACAAAACAAAGUAUAAUAAGUACCUUAUCAUAUGAAGAUCUAUUUGUUUAGUAGAAGUCUUAGAUGAAAUAAAUUCAGCAAUAAGAACUCAAUGAAACUGCCCAAAGUUCAGAUUGUUUUUGAGAAACUCAUCUGGCAACAGAAUUGAGAACUAUUGGGAGUGUGGGGCUCAAGAAGCCACUGAUCUUUCCUGUUGGUCCAAGAAUCCAUUGGAAUACUGUCAAGUGAGGUAUUAUAAGUAAUUUUGCGAGAAUUGUCCAAAGAAGAGAUCAAGAUUACCACCUGAUAACUAAAGCAAGAACUGGGAAAGGGAGAGUGAUGCUGGUUAGACCUUUCAUUUUGAGUAACCAACUGCUAAUUUCAUAUGAGGCUUUUGAGUCAGGGAUUGUUGUGUUGGUUACAGAGGUGGAGAAAAUUGAUGUCAGCCUCACAAACAUAGUUAUUCUGGCAAGACAUGCCGGUCAGGUGGCUUUCAGCAGAUUACUGGUAAGUUUAUUGUUGAUUGGUUGACCUUCAAAGUAUGAGACUGUCACUGAAUGGCUUCUGAUACAAGUUGUCAGUGAUCAAUUAAGAUUAAACUGAGGCAAGUUAUACAUGAUUCAAACAGGUUUAAAACUGGCUCCGAUUUACUUGUUACUGGCUGUAGAACAGUCUUUUAUUCACUUUUAGUAGGCUCUUUUAUUCCUAAUAGAUUUGUCAGUUCUAUAGACGUUUUUGCUAGCCUUACUUUUUAAAAAAUGAAGUGAAAUUCAGAUGCAUGUAAUUAACCAUUUUUAAAUGGCCGGUUUAGUAACAUUUAAUACAUUAGCAGUUACUCCCCACCCUACCCUAACCACCAAUGUACGUUCUGUCUCUACGGAUUUACCUAUUCCAGAUAUUUCAUAUAAAUGGAAUUGUACAACAUGUGACCUUGUGUCUACUUUCUUUCACUUGGCAUGUUUUCAAAGCUCUUCCACAUUGUCGCACAAAUCGGUACUUCAUUCCUUUUUUAUGGCUGAAUAGGAUUCCAUAGCAUAUGUAUGCCACAAUUUGUUUAUCCAUUCUUCUCUUUUAAACAAAAUAUUUUUUUAACCUUUAUUUAUUAUUGACAGACAGACAGAGACAGAGCAUGAGCAGGGGAGGGGCAGAGAGAGAGGGAGACACAGAAUGCGAAGCAGGCUCCAGGCUCUGAGCUGUCAGCACAGAGCCCGACGCGGGGCUCGAACUCACAAACCGCGAGAUCACGACCUGAGCUGAAGUUGGACACCCAACCGACUGAGCCACCCAGGGACCCCUCCAUUCUUCUCUUAAUGGGCAAUGAGAGUAGGUUUCUACCUUUUUGCUGAUGUGAAUAGUGCAUCUAUGAACAUUCAUGUACAAGUAUUUUUAUGAGAACAUGUUUUCAAUUCUUUGGGGUAUGUACCUAGGAGUAGAAUCGCUGGUAGUUCUGUGUUUCACUUUUUGAGGAAACACCAAACUGUUCUCCACACCAGCUGCCACAUUUUAUAUUCUCAGCAGUGUAUGAAGGUUCCAAAAUCUUCCAUCCUCACCAACACAUGCUGGUUUGCUUUUUUCCCCAGUCAUAGCCAUCCUAGUGGAUGUGAAGUGGUGUCUCAUUGUGGUUUUGAUUUGAAUUUCUCUGAUGACCGUUGGUGUUGAGCAUCUUUUUGUAUGUUCAUUGACCAUUGUGUAUGUUCUUUGGAGAAAUAUCUAUACAAAUCGUUUGCUCGUUUUAAAAAUGUUUUGUUGUUGUUGUUGAGUCAUAAGACCUUACAUCCACACACAGGACUGGAUACUAGAGCAAGAUCUCCUUUUUAUUUAAAAAAAAAAUUUUUUUUUAAUGUUUAUUUUUGAGAGAGAGAGAGAGAGAGACAGAGAGAGACAGAGAGAGACAGAGCAUGAGCAGGGGAGAGGCAGAGAGAGAGAGAGGGAGACACAGAAUCUGAAGCAGGCUCCAGGCUCUGAGCUGUCAGCACAGAGCCCGACGCGGGGCUCGAACUCACGAACCGCGAGAUCAAGACCUGAGCUGAAGUCAGACGCUUAACCGACUGAGCCACCCAGGCGCCCCAAGAUCUGCUUUUUAGAGGGAUGUUGAUGCUGUUUCAUUUGGGGAGAAGUACUUGAGAACUCAAUGAGGUUUGUCUCUGAAUGACAAAAAAUCCGAAGUAAAUGUGCUUUAAACAAGAAAUUUCUCUCCUUGUAAAUGAAGUCCAGAAGUUAGCAGGUCAGGGCUGUUAUAAAAAGCUCUAUAAUCAUGUUGGGCCUAGGUUUCUUAGUUGUUGCUUCACCGUUCUCAAAUUGUGGUUCCACUCCACGGUCCGGGUUGGCCAGUGACGCUGUGGCUAGUUUUGAGCACUUUACAGUCAGCGCGAAGGAUAAGAGAUGAAUAUGCAUGAAGUCUCCAAGUGGCACUUUUGCUCCGUUCUCUCUCUCCUGCCCUACCGAGUGAGGACUUUUCACCGUGAAACAUGUGUAACAUUUGUGUCUUAGAUCUUUCCCUGUUUUGUCGUUUUAGUCUUUGUUCUCUUCAUGUUUUUAUCAUCUGUGCUCUAGUAGUUAGUUAAUAACUUACAAAAAAGUUAUUUUUAAUACCUUUAGUCCGGUCACAGUGAAUUUUUUGAAUUUCAAUUUACAUUCAUAUGUUGUUACAGUAUAGUAUUAUAGAGGGAUAAAUAAAAAUAUUUUAAGCACUGAAGUAUGCCAUAAUUCUGUGAGGAAAGUGGAAUAAAAAUUCUGACCCAAUGAACGAUGUUAAUUAAACGUCUGACUGUUCAAGAGUUUGUUCUCGUAUUAUUUUAGAGAUGAUAGUGGGAGGCUGGGGUGUGGAAUCAGAUUGCUAUUGUGCUGAUCAAAUUGUUAGGGCAGCUAUCUUAUUUAAACUCAUGAUGGUACAUGUUAGUUACCAAUUUAAGACUAUGUGAAGCGGUACAUACUUUCCCAAAAUUUGUUUAGAGGUCUGCAAGCAAUAAAAUUUGAUGACACUGUUCUGGCAGAUGACAAGUGUAAGGUGGGCUGGCAGGUUCCCAUACCAGACUCGACAGAUCUGUGUCGAUAGUUUUAUAGAGAUUGAAAAAUAUUUUUAACUUGAGAUUUGGUGCUAGAGGAUCUGUCACGAAUAGCAUGUCACACUGUCUGUCUUCUAGGUGAGCCAGUCAAGUUAGGGUGCUAGGAAAUGUUGAAUAAAUCGCUUUACUACUUGGGCCAGAUCUUCCAGAGGCUCUGUCGCUAGGAUUCUAACCAAUGCUGGAAAAGAGAGAAAUCAAACAGAACUCUUUGUUGUCAGAGCUAAAUUCUUCCCUAAUGACAGAACUGAAAAGGUUAUAUUUUCUAUCAACAGAAGAAUAUACAUCUUGACAUGUCUUACUAGCCAUGGUUUUGUGGUUAAUUGUCACAAGAUUAUAAUUAAUUAAAUUUUUGGAAAGCGCUUUCCUUAAUUUAACACCUCCUCACGCCUCAUGUGGAGCUUUGUCAUAGCCAACUUGCCAGUAGUUCUGAGGACAGUGCCUCUAGAAUUUCACAUCUUGUCUCACUGUGCUGGCAGGACCUCUCAGUGAGCAGUCUUCCUUGUUUCUUGAUUAGCUUUGUGACGGAAUAUUUCAAGUACUAACCACGAUAUACAUGUAUAGAUUUGGGGUACGUACUGUGUGUUGGGAGGUUUCUUUCUGUUCUUUGCUUAUAUUUUGAAGUCCUGAAUGGAUGAUGAGUUUUAUCAAAUGCUUUUUCUACAUCUGUUUAAAUGCAAGGUUUUUUGUUUUUUGUUUUUGCCUUCCUCUGUCCUUGAGGUGGAUUACAUAAAUAGAUUUUCUAAUGUUGAACAAUUCUUGUGUUCUUGGGAUAAAGCCUACUUGGUCUUGAUCAAUGCUAUUAUUACUAAUAAUAUAUUUGUGAGCUUUAAAAAUAUUUUUUCAAAUUUUGCAUCUUGGUUCACAAAUAAAAUCAACCUAUGAUCUUU
Molecule: long non-coding RNA, 8529 nt
Organism: Neofelis nebulosa (Clouded leopard)
Lineage: Eukaryota; Metazoa; Chordata; Mammalia; Carnivora; Felidae
Exons: 3
Source: RefSeq, a predicted model, not a curated record